Molecule: ribosomal RNA, 873 nt
Filed under: uncultured organism
Description: bacterial SSU rRNA
Rfam family: Bacterial small subunit ribosomal RNA
Source: RNAcentral
UCAGAACGAACGCUGGCGGCGCGUUUUAAGCAUGCAAGUCGAACGGUAGUCAGGUGCUUGCACCUGAUGAGAGUGGCGAACGGGUGAGUAACACGUAGGUGAUCUACCUAGAAGUUGGGGAUAGCCUGUGGAAACACAGGGUAAUACCGAAUGAGCCUAUAUACAUACGUGUAUGUAGGGAAAGAGGCUCAGGCCUCGCUUGUAGUUGAGCCUGCGGCUCAUUAGCUAGUUGGGAGGGUAAAGGCCUACCAAGGCGACGAUGAGUAGCCGACCUGAGAGGGUGGGCGGUCACACUGGGACUGAGACACGGCCCAGACUCCUACGGGAGGCAGCAGCUAAGAAUCUUCCGCAAUGGUCGAAAGGCUGACGGAGCGACGCCGCGUGGACGAAGAAGGCCGGAAGGUUGUAAAGUUCUUUUCUCAGAGAAGAAUACGGUGAGGAGGGAAUGCCUCAUUGAUGACGUUAUCUGAGGAAUAAGCCCCGGCUAAUUACGUGCCAGCAGCCGCGGUAACACGUAAGGGGCGAGCGUUGUUCGGAAUUAUUGGGCGUAAAGGGCGCGUAGGCGGCUGAACAAGCCUGGUGUGAAAGGCCACAGCUUAACUGUGGGAGUGCGCUGGGAACUGUUUGGCUAGAGUUCAGGAGGGGAAGCUGGAAUUCCUGGUGUAGGGGUGAAAUCUGUAGAUAUCAGGAAGAACACCUGUGGCGAAGGCGAGCUUCUGGCCAUGAACUGACGCUGAGGCGCGAAAGCGUGGGGAGCGAACAGGAUUAGAUACCCUGGUAGUCCACGCUGUAAACGAUGUGCACUAGGUGUCGGUCGUCGAACUGAUCGGUGCCGAAGCAAACGCGAUAAGUGCACCGCCUGGGGAGUAUGCU